UUGGUAUAUUAUUUUCUAAAAAAUUCUGCGUCUUCCAAGCGGACUUGAUCUGCUGGUACAAACUGGACUGCACCGUCUGAGCUACCUUGCCCAAGCAGGAGAGAGCGGCUGCCAUCUGGAGUAACACACGUUUUGCAUUUAAUGGGAAUGAAUAGUGCAAGCCAACCAGAGGGGUCUGUUUAGGAACAGCGUCAAACUCAGGCAGGAGCUUCUAGGACUUUCACAAGUCUCUUGUCUCAUUCUUUUCCCAGUAAAUCUGGGACCUUGGACCUCAGUAGCUGCUGAUCUCUCCACUCCUACAGAGAGGAGGGGAGACUCAACGGUCAAGGCAACUGGUGG
RNAcentral lists this long non-coding RNA (339 nucleotides) under Equus asinus (donkey). RNAcentral describes it as "lncRNA (ENSEASG00005033205.1)". The record is from RNAcentral. Lineage: Eukaryota; Metazoa; Chordata; Mammalia; Perissodactyla; Equidae.